UGGUGGGUAGUUUGACUGGGGCGGUCUCCUCCCAAAGCGUAACGGAGGAGCACGAAGGUGGGCUAAUCACGGUUGGACAUCGUGAGGUUAGUGCAAUGGCAUAAGCCCGCUUGACUGCGAGAAUGACAAUUCGAGCAGGUGCGAAAGCAGGUCAUAGUGAUCCGGUGGUUCUGAAUGGAAGGGCCAUCGCUCAACGGAUAAAAGGUACUCCGGGGAUAACAGGCUGAUACCGCCCAAGAGUUCAUAUCGACGGCGGUGUUUGGCACCUCGAUGUCGGCUCAUCACAUCCUGGGGCUGAAGUCGGUCCCAAGGGUAUGGCUGUUCGCCAUUUAAAGUGGUACGCGAGCUGGGUUUAGAACGUCGUGAGACAGUUCGGUCCCUAUCUGCCGUGGGCGUUGGAGAAUUGAAAGGGGCUGCUCCUAGUACGAGAGGACCGGAGUGGACGAACCUCUGGUGUUCGGGUUGUGUCGCCAGACGCAUUGCCCGGUAGCUAAGUUCGGGAUCGAUAACCGCUGAAAGCAUCUAAGCGGGAAGCGAGCCUUGAGAUGAGUUCUCCCUGAUACUUUAAGUAUCCUAAAGGGUUGUCGUAGACUACGACGUUGAUAGGCAGGGUGUGUAAGCGUUGUGAGGCGUUGAGCUAACCUGUACUAAUUGCCCGUGAGGCUUAACCAUACAACACCCAA
RNAcentral lists this ribosomal RNA (683 nucleotides) under Vibrio alginolyticus. RNAcentral describes it as "partial 23S ribosomal RNA". It matches the Rfam family "Bacterial large subunit ribosomal RNA", at positions 2259 to 2925 of the family's 2925-position model. The record is from RNAcentral. Lineage: Bacteria; Pseudomonadati; Pseudomonadota; Gammaproteobacteria; Vibrionales; Vibrionaceae.